Molecule: long non-coding RNA, 1974 nt
Filed under: Canis lupus familiaris (dog)
Lineage: Eukaryota; Metazoa; Chordata; Mammalia; Carnivora; Canidae
Description: lncRNA (ENSCAFG00000054992.1)
Source: RNAcentral
UUUUUUUUUUUUUUUUUAAUUUUUUGGUGUUCUUCUUUCUUAUUGCAAUAUGCACUCUCUAGUUUUGGGAAAAGGCGCUCAGACCUGAAGGCAGUUUGUUUAGGGCAACAGAUACAGUAUACAGAGUCUGCUAAUGUCACCAGCUUCCGAUAGGAAAGACUUUUUUUCCAGCGGGUGCUGUAGGUGUGUUUUUCAGGCCUCUUGGAAGAGAUUUUUCUCAAGGAUAUUCCGUGACAGGGAUACAAACUCAGGUAAUACAUGGUUCUUUCUGUCAGAUAGUUUAGAAUCUAACCAGAAAAACACACAACUGAUGAUUACAAAUGAGUGUGACAAAUUCUUUUGAGUCACUAAUUUACUAGGAUAGAUGGCAUUAUUUUAUCUUAAAGUGAUUUGCAAGGCUGCUGUUUUCACAACAAAAGGUGACACAUAAAGUGCUCUGCUACAGAGUAAUAGUCCAUGAGCUAUAAUUUGGACAUACUUUUUAAAAUAAGCUUUGUUUCCUAAUUUCUGUGGCAGAUAUAAGUUGAAUUCUGAUAACAAGAUAGGAAAAACUGGUAAAGACACCAUAAACGAAUUUCAGAAAUCCAGCUCUCAGGGGCAGUUUGCUGCGUGAGUGAAAAACCAGAAGUAACCCCCAGCAACGUCACUGGAUCGCAGUGGUCAUUGUUCAAGGCUUGGGGCUUUGCAGUCAGACACAUGGGGAUUCAAUUUCUGGCUCUAUGUGAAUUGUGUGAUCUUGGAUAAGUUACUUACCUGGUGGUGUACAUCUCAUUUCCUCACCUGUAAGAUGCCUCAGAAAUUACUUCGAAGACUACAAGAAAUUGGUGAUGUAGAAGUUCAUAGUAUAUUGCCUGGUACCUAACAAGCCCUUAAAAUCUAUUUACGAGCUUUAUGUUACCGUGAUAAUGCCCCUGAAUCAGUCUUAAGAUAUUUUAAACAAUUCUCAAGGUAUCCAUUCAAGGAAGUGUCAAAAUCAAAGGGAGUGAGAUAAAGAUGUGAGAGAGGGUUCAUGACAGGGCACCUAGACCUCAGAAAGAGUUGCCAUCAAUCUGGUCCCCAACCAUGACAGGCCAGAUACUCAGUUGUUCACGAUGCAUCUUUUAAGAGGGACUCACAAGGUUGGAUGCAUACCACUUACUUUGGGCUCACUGGUGGUGGAGACCAUGCUAUCUGUACAUUACAGUUCAACAGCCAGAGCACUUUUUUUUUUUUUUUUCCUGUGUUAUAUCCUAGAAACGAUAUGGUCACGAGCUGUUUGCACAGUGAGCACAGAAGCAAAUCAAAGCUACUGACAUUGUCUUGUGGAAUUUUUUUAUUCAAGACUCUUAAAAGCCCAAUGAGACCUCCUGACCCAGAAGAGUACGCCUUUCUCCCAGCCAGUGAGAUCAGGGUCUCUUUCCUUUGGUCAUGCUGCAGAAAAUAGUCUUCCUGACCUUUUGCUCUUUUUCACUGUCCUUUUAUUUAUUUAUUUUUUUUUUUUCAGUAUUCUAUGAAGACCACCAUCCUGGUUUCUUCAUACAGCUGUAACAAAUCACCCCAAACUUAGUGGCUUAAUCCAAGGUACAUCUCAGCGUUGUGGGGGUUAGAAGUCUGAGUGGAUCUCACUGGGCUCCAGUCCAGGUGUUGGCAGGGCCGGGCUUUCUUACGGAGGCUCUAGGAGACAAUCUGUUUCCUGCCUUUUCCCAGCUUCUGGAAGCUGCCUGUAUUCCCUGGCUCCUGGCCCCCUUCCAUCUUCCGAGCCAGCAGAGUAACAUUGCAAAUCAGUCUCUGUCUCUUUCUCUGUCCUUCCCUCUCCAUCUGAUUCUCCCGCCACUUCCUUUUGCUUACCUUGAUCCUUGUUAGUGCAUUGGGCCUGCCUUGAUAACACUUGAUUACCUCCCUCCCCCAUCACGAAUCUUAACUUAAUCACAGUUGCACAAUGUCUUCUGCGUGUAAGGUGACAUAGUCACAGGCUCCUGGGUUGGGGGGGACAUU